RNAcentral lists this ribosomal RNA (450 nucleotides) under uncultured bacterium. Its description in RNAcentral is "partial 16S ribosomal RNA". It matches the Rfam family "Bacterial small subunit ribosomal RNA", at positions 354 to 796 of the family's 1533-position model. The record is from RNAcentral.
GUGGGGAAUUUUGGACAAUGGGCGAAAGCCUGAUCCAGCCAUGCCGCGUGCAGGAUGAAGGCCUUCGGGUUGUAAACUGCUUUUGUACGGAACGAAAAGACUCCUUCUAAUAAAGGGGGUCCAUGACGGUACCGUAAGAAUAAGCACCGGCUAACUACGUGCCAGCAGCCGCGGUAAUACGUAGGGUGCAAGCGUUAAUCGGAAUUACUGGGCGUAAAGCGUGCGCAGGCGGUUUUGUAAGACAGAUGUGAAAUCCCCGGGCUCAACCUGGGAACUGCAUUUGUGACUGUAUAGCUAGAGUACGGUAGAGGGGGAUGGAAUUCCGCGUGUAGCAGUGAAAUGCGUAGAUAUGCGGAGGAACACCGAUGGCGAAGGCAAUCCCCUGGACCUGUACUGACGCUCAUGCACGAAAGCGUGGGGAGCAAACAGGAUUAGAUACCCCAGUAGUCC